AGGGCAGUUCCCCUGCACACACUCUCUUGCUUGCUGCCAUGUAAGAAGUGCCUUUGCUCCUCUGCCUUCUGCCAUGAUUGUGAGGCCUCCCCAGCCAUGUGGAACUUUGGAGUUGCCAUGGCACCCAGAAAACCAGAGAUCCUGGUAAGAAGGUUUUAAAAAGCUUAUGUGAAGAAAGAAUUCAACCAAGGGGAAUAAGGCAGAGGGAGAAACUGAGGCAAGUUUAAGGGCAGGAGUGGAAAUAUAUUAAGAAGUUUUAGAGCAAGAAUGAAAGGAAGUGAAGUACACUUGGAAGAGGGCCAAGCGGGUGACUUGAGAGAUCAAGUGCGAGGUCUUGCUCUGUCGCCCAAGAUGGAGUACAGUGGUGCAAUCACGGCUCACUACAGCCUCGACCUUCAGGGCUCAAAUGAUCCUCCCACCUUAGCCUCCUGAGUAGCCGGGACUACAGCCAAUCCACAAAUGAAUGCUAUCAGCCGUGCCCCCGAUCAUAUCCCAACCAUCCAUGUUUGGCUACUCCAUUGCUAGCCCAACCUUGCAUCUCAUGCCUGCGUUAU
This is a long non-coding RNA of Symphalangus syndactylus (siamang), 554 nucleotides long. RefSeq lists it as uncharacterized. The record is from RefSeq and is a predicted model, not a curated record. NCBI's taxonomy places the organism in Eukaryota, Metazoa, Chordata, Mammalia, Primates, Hylobatidae.